Molecule: ribosomal RNA, 375 nt
Filed under: Psammoryctides albicola
Lineage: Eukaryota; Metazoa; Annelida; Clitellata; Tubificida; Naididae
Description: partial 12S ribosomal RNA
Rfam family: Bacterial small subunit ribosomal RNA
Source: RNAcentral
CCCUGACCUAAAAUAAACGCCGGGCAAUACAAACUAACGUUUAAAACUCAAAGAUCUUGGCGGUGCCUUAUAUAAUCAGGGGAACCUGUCCCUUAAUUCGAUAAUCCACGAAUGCGUUAGCCUCACUUGAAAAUCAGCCUGUGUACUGCCGUCGCAAGUAUACCUCAAAGAGCAAGUAUACAAUAAUAAUUCUAUAGACGUCAGGUCAAAGUGCAGCCUAUGUGAAGCUGGAGAUGGGUUACAUAUUAUAUAAAAAUCCAAUUCAAUGUAAAAAUAUUGAGCAAAGCUGGACUUGAAAGUAAUAAUUAAAACUAUGUAAUUAUGAAUUAGAAUCUAAGGCAUGCACACAUCGCCCGUCACUCUCGUCGAAAGAUG